Molecule: ribosomal RNA, 253 nt
Filed under: uncultured bacterium
Lineage: Bacteria
Description: partial 16S ribosomal RNA
Rfam family: Bacterial small subunit ribosomal RNA
Source: RNAcentral
UACAGAGGUCUCAAGCGUUGUUCGGAUUCAUUGGGCGUAAAGGGUGCGUAGGCGGCGCGGUAAGUCGGGUGUGAAAUCUCGGGGCUUAACUCCGAAACUGCAUUCGAUACUGCCGUGCUUGAGGACUGGAGAGGAGACUGGAAUUUACGGUGUAGCGGUGAAAUGCGUAGAUAUCGUAAGGAAGACCAGUGGCGAAGGCGGGUCUCUGGACAGUUCCUAACGCUGAGGCACGAAGGCCAGGGGAGCAAACGGG